GAUGAACGCUGGCGGCGUGCCUAAUACAUGCAAGUCGAGCGAACGGACGAGAAGCUUGCUUCUCUGAUGUUAGCGGCGGACGGGUGAGUAACACGUGGAUAACCUACCUAUAAGACUGGGAUAACUUCGGGAAACCGGAGCUAAUACCGGAUGAUAUUUUGAACCGCAUGGUUCAAAAGUGAAAGACGGUCUUGCUGUCACUUAUAGAUGGAUCCGCGCUGCAUUAGCUAGUUGGUAAGGUAACGGCUUACCAAGGCAACGAUGCAUAGCCGACCUGAGAGGGUGAUCGGCCACCCGGGAACUGAGACACGGUCCAGACUCCAACGGGAGGCAGCAGUAGGAAAUCUUCCGCAAGGGGCAAAAGCCUGACGGAGCAACGCCGCGUGAGUAAUGAAGGUCUUCGGAUCGUAAAACUCUGUUAUUAGGGAAGAACAUAUGUGUAAGUAACUGUGCACAUCUUGACGGUACCUAAUCAGAAAGCCACGGCUAACUACGG
RNAcentral lists this ribosomal RNA (496 nucleotides) under uncultured bacterium. RNAcentral describes it as "partial 16S ribosomal RNA". It matches the Rfam family "Bacterial small subunit ribosomal RNA", at positions 28 to 506 of the family's 1533-position model. The record is from RNAcentral.